Lolium perenne is the source of this 622-nucleotide long non-coding RNA. RefSeq lists it as uncharacterized. NCBI's taxonomy places the organism in Eukaryota, Viridiplantae, Streptophyta, Magnoliopsida, Poales, Poaceae. The record is from RefSeq and is a predicted model, not a curated record.
GGGAAUCAACAUGUCGUCUCUCUGGAUCCCCUUUCUCACUCCUCUCCCUCGAGCUUGGAGCUCAGCUCUAUCGCCAUCAAUUCAUGGCGUCCUCGACAGUACGACCUGAUUCGUCAGAGCCUGCAGUGAGCUCCUCUGUCCUUGCUUGAACGAGGUGGGCGUCAUCGAUUUGUUGUUCUGGGCUGCCAAACCUGCGACCCUGACUGCAUGCUAGACAGCUGCCGCCGCCUUCAAAGCUAUUGACAUGCACUGCCGCAGGAGGCGAGGGCCAUGGCAUCGAAGGUCAUAGACGCCUUGAGAAGAGACAGUUGCUCAGCCUCGUGUCUAGUGUUGUGACCAAGGAGCUGAUGUACAAAGGCAGCUGCUCUGUUUGGCAAAUAACCGGAGCGCUGGUGAGGCAGUAGCUGCAAGGAAAACCCAAUCAAAAGCAGAAGAAGAGAAGCCCUGCCGGUAGGUACUAUUAUACAAGAAAAACCGGCGGGCACCAGGAGACAUAAGAUGAGCCCCAAUUGACAGUGGUAAGUCAUUUUUUUUGCGGGGGACAGUGGCUAGUCAUGACAGAGUUCAACUGUACACCUUCCCUUUCAUUUGCUCAGGACGUCAUCGAAACUUUUUGGUCUUU